CUGUCACGCCCCAACCGCGCGGCCCGAAAACGGUACCAAUUUGGUCCGGUUCGAGGGCGGUGGCGCGACCGCCGAACGGACGGAGUUUCCCCUGUCCGCCCAAGGCUAAGCAACAGAUUGUGUACAACAAGUCCCCAGGAAUACAACUUGAAUACAUACACAAUCAAACAACGAUGAACGAGAGCACGAACAGUGCUACAACCAACUAGAGCAAGCGAUACAAGUAAAACCAUACAAGUAUACAAAAGAGAGCAACUUAGCUAUUUGAGACAUCAUUGAAACAUUUAACCUCUUUUAACAUCAUUAAAACUUUAAGCUUUGA
This 322-nucleotide long non-coding RNA is filed under the name Ananas comosus (pineapple). RNAcentral describes it as "long non-coding RNA (ACOM_LNC039018)". The record is from RNAcentral. Lineage: Eukaryota; Viridiplantae; Streptophyta; Magnoliopsida; Poales; Bromeliaceae.